This is a non-coding RNA of Parelaphostrongylus tenuis, 73 nucleotides long. The record is from the annotation of a GenBank genome assembly. NCBI's taxonomy places the organism in Eukaryota, Metazoa, Nematoda, Chromadorea, Rhabditida, Metastrongylidae.
GCCUCAGUAGUGUAAUAGUAAAGCACGCGUUCCCGGUAUGGAUGAAGUGUGGAUUCGAUUUCCACCUGAGGCC